AUCUCCCCCCUGCUGCGACCUCACCCAUCACCCAGAGCCAGUCCCCCUCGCCCCCCGCGCAACCUUCCCCAACCAUGCACCUCAGCAGGCCGUAGUCCACACGGUAAGCCUCUCUCUCUCUCUCUGUUCUCCCUUCGUCUUCUCUCUCUUUUCUCCCAUCAUUUUCUCUGUCUCUGAGUUGACUUCUAUGUAAUUUGAUAGUGGAAAUGGAAAAUAGAAAAUGUGAAUUUGUGUAAUUUGUGAUGAUAUGAUUGUGUAAAAUUUGUGUAAUUUUGUGAUGAUAUGGUUGUGUAAAAUCUGUGUAAUUUUGUGUUGAUGAGUUUGUGUAAAAUAUGUGUAACUAAAAUAGGAUGGAUGUUGCAGUUGAUGAGUUUGUGUAAAAUCUGUGUAGGAUCACCUCUUGAGUUUGCUUGAGAGACAUGGAAGUUAUGAAUUGGAAGGCUGAUAAUGGUAAUAGUAGUAGGGGGUGAUGUUGUAGAAGUGAGUAUGUAAUUAAGAUAGAGAGGGCUGAUAAUGCUAAAAGUUUUAUUUCCCACAUAUUUCGGUGUGUGUAGUGAGUUGGGAUGGUCCCAUAUAUGUGUGAUAAAUGUGCGACUUACUUAAGGUAACACUGUUAGAUUUGUAACAUGUCAUGUUAUAUAGACAAAGAGUCAAAUUAAUGUUUAUUAAUUACAUGGUUGUUUACAUGUGUGAUCAUGACCAAUCACAAGGGAAGCUUGUAAUUAAUUAAUUAUUAUAUUUUAUGGUACUCUGCCUGCAAGGCUAAAUGCCCCUAAUAUAGAAACCACCCCCAACAUGAUAUUCUUCUCAUUCAAGAUCAGUUCAAUGAGGCCGGGACUGUGUGUGUGUGUGUUUUUAAGAUAUGUAGAAUAUAUAUAUAUAUAUAUAUAUAUAUAUAUAUAUGCUAAUAUCAUAAUUAAUGCAGCAAACAAGAAAUGAUAUGAAGUGAACUAGUUGGCUUGAUCAUGAAGAUGCCUCUGUCACUGACAAAAGCCCCAUGAUGUCAAUUUCAUAAAGCUACAAAUUAAGUCAUGCCCCAUGCCUACACAUGAAUCCAAAACACUGCUCAUGGAAACAAUACUUUCAUCUAUCUAGUCAUGUUUACUCGUAAACAUCUGGUUGCUUUGUUUAUAGCUUUAUAUUUGUCUGUUAAGUCAUGGCAAGUUGAAUAUCCAGCUAGCCUAUUGAUGAAACAACUUUAUGGGGCUGAGACUUAGAUCGAUCUCUUCUAACUUUCUACUCGAAUUUGAUCAUCCAAUUAAUUCAAGAAAGACAUAAUAUUAAAUGUCCAGGUGUAACUUACACGGUCUAGCUACAAGCGGCCUAAUUAGCUUGCACAUUUGGAACAACAUAAAAUGUUACAAAUUAAGUCCACUAAUUAAUGUGUAUAUAUGUUGGAUCAUUCAAUUCGAAUAGAGAAUUGCUUGAAAAUAUCUCUCUCCUAUUUUAUAUGCAGGUAUCAAAUGCAAAUAAAAUAAAUGGAAACAUAGGUAGCAGCUAGCUAUAUAUUAAAUUGCAGUAGACGAUUAAGAAAGGAGACUACAUAAAUAUUCCACCCUUAAUAGAAUAGGGGUGGUACUUUUCUUUUUCUAAGAAUAGGGGUAGUGCUUUGGUUUUUAUUAGUCCUUUAUUUAAAGAAUAUUUGGAUAAAUAAUAAGUAGGAAAAGAACUUAAUGAAAUGAAGAUAUUUUUUAUGUGAUGACACAUGCAUCAGAGUAGGUUCUUAAAAUCAUGUUUUCUAUUUUAGUAUAAUACUUAACAUAGACAGCCAGAGAAGUUGCUCUUGUCACACUUGAAAAUGACUAGUUCAACAAUAUUAAUGUGGUAUUUGAUGGCUUCCCUGUGAAAUGUGGUAUUUGUUCUACUUGAAGAGAUUAUGAUGCUAGCCAUUAACGCUAGACAACAUCUAAUAGAUUAGAUGUUGUCCUUAAUAUUCAUCAAAAAAAGAUUAUAUGUUUUCAAUUGAAAGUGAUAAUAGAGUCUUUUGCACUUCCAACCUAGCCUAGACCUGUUGGUUUUAUAGGAGGAUUGUUAUGGCAUCGUGACAUUGAAAAUUUCCAAGAUGACCCUAUCAACAAGUUAUACAUGAGACCUUCUAAUCAAAUGCUUUAGAAGAAGUUGUAUUACAAUCCACAGGGGUACCCUAUAUGUUUAAUGAGAUUGGCUAGUCACAUUGACCACAAACGAGAUAUCAAGUCUUGUAAUAGACAACUAUGUUGACUUUUCUGCACAUCUCUAUACUUUCUUGGAAGCUCUCCUUGACCAACUAUACAUGAUUGAGAUUUGGAUCCAUUAGAGUGCCAACUUGGUUUGAAUCAUAAUAAACCUGUAUAUUCCAAUGCCAACGUGUAUACUUCUUUUGAGUGAGGCUAGUCCCACUAGCAGCCUGAGCCAUCUCUAUGCCAAUAGAAUAUCUAAGCUUCUCUAUGUCUUCAUUACAAAAUUAGAUUUACAUAAAAUGCUUUAAUUCUUCAGUUCUCUUAGUAUCUUUGUCUUCUGGAAUGAUAUUAUCAACAUUUACUACCAAUGUGAGAAUAGAAUGUAGCCAGUGAAUGGAAGUCUGAAUGAUUUGUUUGACCUCGUGAUAUACCAAAUUCUAGUGCUAUCUCUUCAAAUUUCCCAAACCACGUUCUAGGCAACGGCAUCAAACCAUAAUUUAAAUCUUUAAUUCACCUUACCUAACUCCUUCCCAUCCAAACCACACCUAGGUCUUGCAUUAGAACUGUCCAGCUUCAUUAAUGAGCACCUAUAUUUUUAUGUUGCCCUUAAUAUUCAUCAUUCACUGUGUCCUUUAUGGAACUACCAACAAAUACUGGUGUGGCAGUGUACUUUCAAAUCCCACAGUUUGUCCAACAACAUCAACUUCCAAUGCAGAUUAAACAACAUGUGCUAGCUUCUAGGUGUCCUCCUCAUCUCAUGCUGUUUUCUAAAGCAUGAGACGAGUACAUUCUGAAAUUCUGAAUUAUAAACUAUGAGCAAUACUUGACAUUUGAUAGAAAUAAGGUAUUGCGGAUGUCUGGGGAUAGUAGGAAGGGCAUUUAUCCAACUUAGAUUUAUGUUAGAAGACCAGUAGGAGGUGGCUUGCCCUCGAUCCAUUCCAAAGUAAGGGGUGAGUGUCUUGAUACCACUUCCUAAUUCUUAUAAACUCCAUUUCAAUGCCAAGUGGCCCACUUUAUUAUUUUGAUGGCUUAUAAAAGUAGUUCGUCAUCAACCAUUGUAUUCAGUAGUCGAGUGAGUUGGAUAGUGAAAGUACAUGUGAAAAUGAGGCAUGCAAGCUGGAGUGUGGUAGAUGACAAGGAGAAGCACGAGCUCAUCAAUCGUGUUAGGGUAGGGGUUAGAAAUAUAUUCAUGAAUCUUGUAAUUUAUGAAGUGGUAAGAUAUGAUUUUUAGAGUGACAACAACUAUGUGAUAUGAUACAAUGCUUUUCAGGCAGACUUUGUGUUGGAUUGGACAAAAGAGAACCAUCAUGAAGAUGUGGUAAAUGCACUCGCUAAUAAGUACAAUACAUACAACUAUGAACUAUAUAAGCACUACCUAAAAUAUGCAUCACAUGAGGAGAUACUAGCUGGUUGGAAAGGGUUGGCGGAGCCACAUGUUUGGGAGUGGCUAUGUGAAAGGUGGGCCAGUGGCACAUUCAAGAAUCUUAUGGUAGAGAGGUUGAAUGAGAAAGACUCAGAAGAGAAUGUUGAUGAAGUUGCUACCUUUGUUUUCAAAGAGGUCCUUGGAACGACUAUGCACAAGGGCUGGGUCACUCAGUCAUUCCUGAGCCCUCCCCUUCAUUGCAAAAGAACAAGGCAUUUAUAUGUAUGACCGAGGAGAAUGAAAGGAACAAGAAAUGUGCAGACAUUUACAAGACUCAAUUAGAGUCGCUUUUGGGUGAUGUGGCUGCUUUGCGAAAACAGUUUUCUGAGCAUGACAAAUAAUUGAACAUGAUAUCAUCAUAGUUGGAGUCAAGUAGGGAGUCUCAACAAGAGAUCAAGGAGAUGCUUAGCAUCUCUUGUUGGUGGCAAGUUUUUUGGAGUGUUGGAGAUUUUUGUAUUUUGUGUUCCCCCUAUGGACAUGGCAGUGUGUUAAAUGCCAACGUUCUGAUGGGUAGUGUGGGCCGGUUUGGGGUAUUUUGAUAGAGAGGGUGGCAGGUGGUUAUAUCAGUAUAUUUUGUGUUGGGAAUAUAUAACGCACUAUCUUCAUGUUAGUACCUACAAAGGUUGUGUGAUGGUAUGCAUCAGGUAAUGGUUAAAAAAGAGUCAAUGAGUAUCUUCAAGGACAAUGAUGGCUUAUAGGGCUCUUCACCUGAGUCUUCUGAGAUUGUCUUAUAAUCUAUUUUUGCUGGGGUACAUUUUAAGCAUUAAGGUAGCUGCAUUCACAAGGGUUCUAGCAUACUCCAGUUCUGUAAAAUGGCAACCACCAACAGAAUACACCAAAUAUUACUGGAUAAGAGCAAAAGAUCCAGUGAUGGCUACUGCUGUUGAGGCAAAUGUUUGUGCUAUCUUUUGAGGUCCUUAUCAGCCAUCUGAAAUGUGUGGAUGUAGAGGCUAUUGUAGGAAUUGUUCAUCUGGGCAGAUCAGGUUAAGAUGCCUAAUACAGUUCAUGUGAAUGAAGCUAUCAGGAGAUCAUGCCAUUUGGAGCCAAGUUGUAUGAGUAUAUGUAGAACAAACAUUGUUAUAUGGGUUAUAAAAUAGUAUGCAUAAUCAUGCUGACGGCCCUCUUGGCCUUCCCAAUCAGUAAACAUUAAUGUAUUGCCAUUCUCUUCAAUGAACAGUGGAACAUGCGAGAUUGAUGCACGUAAAUAUUGAUAUAUAAAUGAUGUUAUAUGGC
Molecule: RNA transcript, 4815 nt
Organism: Juglans microcarpa x Juglans regia
Lineage: Eukaryota; Viridiplantae; Streptophyta; Magnoliopsida; Fagales; Juglandaceae
Exons: 3
Source: RefSeq, a predicted model, not a curated record